Molecule: long non-coding RNA, 536 nt
Organism: Zalophus californianus (California sea lion)
Lineage: Eukaryota; Metazoa; Chordata; Mammalia; Carnivora; Otariidae
Exons: 6
Source: RefSeq, a predicted model, not a curated record
AGUUCCUCUCCUCCGGGUUAUCAUCUCCCAUCGUUCUGAGAGGAGGGAACCCCUUUGGGCUGCUGCUAUUAUUAUUCCUGUUUGAUCGAUGAGGAACCUGGGGCUUGGAGAGAGCCUCUCUGCAGGACACAGAGCUGAGGAAUUCCAUGUGUGACUGACUGAAUGACAGGACAUGGAACAUGGGUGACCGUCGCUACGUCACUUCAGUUCCAAAGAGGCAAUGUAAGAGUUUGCCCAAUGAUGCUUCUCCAGUUGCUUCGGCUUGCAGGAUUGCAGGUGAGGGAACCGAGGAUCACAGAUGUUAAUGACUGCUCAAGGUCAUUCAGCUGGGCUCAAGGGACCACGACAGGCUCAGGCCAUUACCCAUGGAGCUGGCCAGGGAGAGCCUACCUGUCAAACUGGCUGGAACGUAGCAAGAUAAACUCCUGUUGCUUGCACCGGUGAUUCAAAUGUACAUCCUUCGAGAACCAAAAGAAGCCCAUAUUGGACUCAGAAUCUGCCUCCAGCCAGUCCUCCAUUGUGAGCCAGCCAGCCAG